GAUGAACGCUGGCGGCGUGCCUAAUACAUGCAAGUCGAGCGAACAGACGAUGAGCUUGCUCCUCUGACGUUAGCGGCUGACGGGUGAGUAACACGUGGAUAACCUACCUAUUAUACUGGGAUAACUUCGGGAAACCGGAGCUAAUACCGGAUAAUAUAUUGAACCGCAUGGUUCAAUAGUGAAAGACGGUUUUGCUGUCACUUAUAGAUGGAUCCGCGUCGCAUUAGCUAGUUGGUAAGGUAACGGCUUACCAAGGCGACGAUGCGUAGCCGACCUGAGAGGGUGAUCGGCCACACUGGAACUGAGACACGGUCCAGACUCCUACGGGAGGCAGCAGUGGGGAAUCUUGCGCAAUGGGCGAAAGCCUGACGGAGCAACGCCGCGUGAGUGAUGAAGGUCUUCGGAUCGUAAAACUCUGUUGUUAGGGAAGAAAAAAUGUGGAAGUAACUAUGCACGUCUUGACGGUACCUAAACAGAAAGCCACGGCUAACUACGUG
RNAcentral lists this ribosomal RNA (497 nucleotides) under uncultured bacterium. Its description in RNAcentral is "partial 16S ribosomal RNA". It matches the Rfam family "Bacterial small subunit ribosomal RNA", at positions 28 to 507 of the family's 1533-position model. The record is from RNAcentral.